CGCUGGCGGCGGCCUAAACAUGUAAGUCGAACGGUAACAUUUCUAGCUUGCUAGAAGAUGACGAGUGGCGGACGGGUGAGUAAUGCUUGGGAACUUGCCUUUGCGAGGGGGAUAACAGUUGGAAACGACUGCUAAUACCGCACGAUGUCUACGGACCAAACGGGGCUUCGGCUCCGGCGCAAAGAGAGGCCCAAGUGAGAUUAGCUAGUUGGUAAGGUAACGGCUUACCAAGGCGACGAUCUCUAGCUGUUCUGAGAGGAAGAUCAGCCACACUGGGACUGAGACACGGCCCAGACUCCUACGGGAGGCAGCAGUGGGGAAUAUUGCACAAUGGGGGAAACCCUGAUGCAGCCAUGCCGCGUGUGUGAAGAAGGCCUUCGGGUUGUAAAGCACUUUCAGUUGUGAGGAAAAGUUAGUAGUUAAUACCUGCUAACCGUGACGUUAACAACAGAAGAAGCACCGGCUAACUCCGUGCCAGCAG
This 481-nucleotide ribosomal RNA is filed under the name uncultured bacterium. RNAcentral describes it as "bacterial SSU rRNA". It matches the Rfam family "Bacterial small subunit ribosomal RNA", at positions 34 to 514 of the family's 1533-position model. The record is from RNAcentral.